CGCAGUGUUAAUAUACGAUAUUUUUUAAGCACAGUAUUCACUCGUGCUGCAAUUUAUUUCAUACAACAGGUUGGUGUGGUCUCAGAUUAUGAUCUGUUAGCACUGGACUUGAUAUCAGGAAAUGGACAGGCCGAAGCGGACAUAUUUCCUGAGGUGGACAGCACUUGGAAGGUACAUUUUGAAAGGCUUGGACGGAUAAUAGACUUAAUUGUGUCGCAUGGUUAUGCAUCUACCUUGACCACCCCCCUCCCUCACAUGCACACGCGCAUACGCAUACACACAAGUUGUAGAUGUAGUUUGUCACUGGAUGUGGGAUGACAUGUAGGAUUGUAGGAGAGCUCAAAUAAAAAUUACUUUUGUGAAAGGGAAUGAUAGGCUUGGGCUCAGUCAAA
Triticum dicoccoides is the source of this 392-nucleotide long non-coding RNA. RefSeq lists it as uncharacterized. The transcript has 2 exons. The record is from RefSeq and is a predicted model, not a curated record. Lineage: Eukaryota; Viridiplantae; Streptophyta; Magnoliopsida; Poales; Poaceae.